This 430-nucleotide ribosomal RNA is filed under the name Pseudomonadota bacterium. RNAcentral's name for it is "Proteobacteria bacterium partial 16S ribosomal RNA". It matches the Rfam family "Bacterial small subunit ribosomal RNA", at positions 355 to 776 of the family's 1533-position model. The record is from RNAcentral. Lineage: Bacteria; Pseudomonadati; Pseudomonadota.
UGGGGAAUAUUGGACAAUGGGCGAAAGCCUGAUCCAGCCAUGCCGCGUGUGUGAAGAAGGCCUUUUGGUUGUAAAGCACUUUAAGCGAGGAGGAGGCUACUAGUACUAAUACUACUGGAUAGUGGACGUUACUCGCAGAAUAAGCACCGGCUAACUCUGUGCCAGCAGCCGCGGUAAUACAGAGGGUGCGAGCGUUAAUCGGAUUUACUGGGCGUAAAGCGUGCGUAGGUGGUUCGUUAAGUUGAAUGUGAAAGCCCCGGGCUCAACCUGGGAACUGCAUCCAAAACUGGCGAGCUAGAGUAGGGCAGAGGGUGGUGGAAUUUCCUGUGUAGCGGUGAAAUGCGUAGAUAUAGGAAGGAACACCAGUGGCGAAGGCGACCACCUGGGCUCAUACUGACACUGAGGUGCGAAAGCGUGGGGAGCAAACAGG